GCCCGGUUGCGGCAGGGCUUACACAGCCGCACAGACGGUGACGGCCACCACCUUAAAACGCCUA
Molecule: non-coding RNA, 64 nt
Submitted as: unclassified sequences
Source: Rfam